This 473-nucleotide ribosomal RNA is filed under the name uncultured bacterium. Its description in RNAcentral is "bacterial SSU rRNA". It matches the Rfam family "Bacterial small subunit ribosomal RNA", at positions 28 to 502 of the family's 1533-position model. The record is from RNAcentral.
GAUGAACGCUGGCGGCGUGCUUAACACAUGCAAGUCGAACGGGAAAUAUUUCAUUGAGACUUCGGUGGAUUUGAUCUAUUUCUAGUGGCGGACGGGUGAGUAACGCGUGGGUAACCUGCCUUAUACAGGGGGAUAACAGUCAGAAAUGGCUGCUAAUACCGCAUAAGCGCACAGAGCUGCAUGGCUCAGUGUGAAAAACUCCGGUGGUAUAAGAUGGACCCGCGUUGGAUUAGCUUGUUGGUGGGGUAACGGCCCACCAAGGCGACGAUCCAUAGCCGGCCUGAGAGGGUGAACGGCCACAUUGGGACUGAGACACGGCCCAGACUCCUACGGGAGGCAGCAGUGGGGAAUAUUGCACAAUGGGGGAAACCCUGAUGCAGCGACGCCGCGUGAAGGAAGAAGUAUCUCGGUAUGUAAACUUCUAUCAGCAGGGAAGAUAGUGACGGUACCUGACUAAGAAGCCCCGGCUAAUU